RNAcentral lists this ribosomal RNA (492 nucleotides) under uncultured bacterium. RNAcentral's name for it is "partial 16S ribosomal RNA". It matches the Rfam family "Bacterial small subunit ribosomal RNA", at positions 29 to 507 of the family's 1533-position model. The record is from RNAcentral.
AGUGAACGCUGGCGGUAGGCCUAACACAUGCAAGUCGAACGGCAGCACAGUAAGAGCUUGCUCUUACGGGUGGCGAGUGGCGGACGGGUGAGGAAUACAUCGGAAUCUACUUUUUCGUGGGGGAUAACGUAGGGAAACUUACGCUAAUACCGCAUACGACCUACGGGUGAAAGCAGGGGAUCUUCGGACCUUGCGCGAUUGAAUGAGCCGAUGUCGGAUUAGCUAGUUGGCGGGGUAAAGGCCCACCAAGGCGACGAUCCGUAGCUGGUCUGAGAGGAUGAUCAGCCACACUGGAACUGAGACACGGUCCAGACUCCUACGGGAGGCAGCAGUGGGGAGUAUUGGACAAUGGGCGCAAGCCUGAUCCAGCCAUACCGCGUGGGUGAGGAAGGCCUUCGGGUUGUAAAGCCCUUUUGUUGGGAAAGAAAAGCAGCAGGUUAAUACCCCGCUGUUCUGACGGUACCCAAAGAAUAAGCACCGGCUAACUUCGUG